Molecule: unclassified non-coding RNA, 297 nt
Filed under: fungal sp.
Lineage: Eukaryota; Fungi
Description: partial internal transcribed spacer region
Rfam family: Eukaryotic small subunit ribosomal RNA (bases 1-46)
Source: RNAcentral
AAGUCGUAACAAGGUUUCCGUAAGUGAACCUGCGGAAGGAUCAUUAACACGUAUCCAAACGUUAAAACAACCCUGUGAACCUUCAGCGUGUUGCAGGACAUCAAAACAGCAAUCCCGAGUAAAUCAGGCGCUAAAGAAUUACAGAUUUUGAUUUUGGGAAGUUCUGUGUGCUGCAAUUGUGUAGGUCCACACGACCGGCGACCGGGGUGGAGGCGAAAGCCCCUACGUCAUCCCUAUGUACCCUCCGUGAAAGCUGACUCCGUCAUAAAUGGAACAACUGUUAACUCUUGAAUCUCA